Non-coding RNA from Cinara cedri, 277 nucleotides. The record is from the annotation of a GenBank genome assembly. NCBI's taxonomy places the organism in Eukaryota, Metazoa, Arthropoda, Insecta, Hemiptera, Aphididae.
AGUACAAUAUUUACGAGCAAGUGUACCUCACCUAACCGUGUAUAUUGCUUAUAUAAUAAUAUAUAUCAUUUUCGUGGAUAGAUUCGUAAUAAUAUACGAGCAGCUGUAACGGCAUGUGGAACAACGCCGUUAUUUCUGUGAUCGCGUUAUGAUAUUAUGCAAAACCGCGAAUCUUUAUUAUUCCGAACGCUAUAGGAGCCAUCGGUAAUCGCAUUACCGACUCGUAUAUUUUUUCGGACGUCAAAACACACAAAAAUACACAUCUCCGACCCAGUUC